ACCCUCCCAACUCAUUUCUCUUGGUCAGCCAAAGGAAGAAAAGGGAAGAAAAGAAGAAGAACAAAACCCUAGCUAAGAAAUUCAAGGGAAAAUCACUAGAUUUCAAGGAAUCAAGACAUCAAAGGUGAAAUUUCUUAACUCUAGCUUGUGAUCUAUCUUUCCUAUGCAUUCUUUUGCAUUUUCUAUGGUUGAAUCACAAGAUAUCAUGAAGGAUUCAUGGCUGAUCGAAUUUAGAGAGAGAAUAUUUGAUGAUUUAUUUGGUUAGAUUUUGAGAUAUUUUAGUGUUUUUAGUUGAUUUAUCAUGUUUGGAAGGAAAACAAGCAAGAAAAAUCACGUAUUCUUCAUGGAUUCUUCAUUGGCCGAAUUUCAUAAAGAAAAUAUUGAAGAUGAAUCUUGUGAUGUCUUAUGUUAUUUAGUUAGAAUAUAAUGAAUUGUGGUGGUGGAAAUUGAAAAUGGUAAUGUUUAGCAUGAAAAAUCGUAUACCCCUAAAGAACCUCCAUGGCCGAAUUUUUCCAAGAGAAAAUGUGAGGAUGAUUAUACCAUAUUUCAAGUUAUUUAAUUUGUGUUUGAUGAUUUGGAGUAUUGGCAGAGAAAUGGAAUUAUUUGGAGUUGAAUUUGACGUAUUGGCCAAUUAAUCGGGUGAUAGAUCGCAUUAGGCCAAUACAAUUUUAUUUAGGUACACAAUUGAACUUAUAUUGAACGCCGUAUUUAGAUGGUUACCCGAGCAUUUCACAUCCCAUUUCACGCAUUAGUAUACAACUUGAAUUAGUUUUAUAACAGUUUAGCACAAAUGCAGUAAAUGGCUUAUUGUGCAUUAUGUUUAGGUGGUGAGCU
This 834-nucleotide long non-coding RNA is filed under the name Theobroma cacao (cacao). RNAcentral's name for it is "long non-coding RNA (TCAC_LNC003020)". The record is from RNAcentral. Lineage: Eukaryota; Viridiplantae; Streptophyta; Magnoliopsida; Malvales; Malvaceae.